UACGAAGGGUGCAAGCGUUACUCGGAAUUACUGGCUUAAAGCGUGUGUAGGCGGAUUUGUAAGUACCUUGUGAAAUCCCACGGCUCAACCGUGGAACUGCUCGGUAUACGUGCUUAUCUUGAGCCACUUAGGGGCUACCGGAACAAUGGUGGAGCGGUGAAAUGCGUAGAUAUCAUUGGAACGCCAAUGGUGAAAACAGGUAGCUGGGAGUGUGCUGACGCUGAGACACGAAAGCCAGGGAGCGAACGGG
RNAcentral lists this ribosomal RNA (250 nucleotides) under uncultured bacterium. RNAcentral's name for it is "partial 16S ribosomal RNA". It matches the Rfam family "Bacterial small subunit ribosomal RNA", at positions 524 to 776 of the family's 1533-position model. The record is from RNAcentral.